RNAcentral lists this ribosomal RNA (253 nucleotides) under uncultured bacterium. Its description in RNAcentral is "partial 16S ribosomal RNA". It matches the Rfam family "Bacterial small subunit ribosomal RNA", at positions 524 to 776 of the family's 1533-position model. The record is from RNAcentral.
UACGUAGGUGGCAAGCGUUAUCCGGAAUUAUUGGGCGUAAAGCGCGCGCAGGCGGUCCUUUAAGUCUGAUGUGAAAGCCCACGGCUCAACCGUGGAGGGUCAUUGGAAACUGGGGGACUUGAGUGCAGAAGAGGAGAGCGGAAUUCCACGUGUAGCGGUGAAAUGCGUAGAGAUGUGGAGGAACACCAGUGGCGAAGGCGGGUCUCUGGACAGUUCCUGACACUGAGGAGCGAAAGCGUGGGGAGCGAACAGG